This 85-nucleotide transfer RNA is filed under the name Rhodocyclaceae bacterium. RNAcentral describes it as "tRNA-Leu". It matches the Rfam family "tRNA". Rfam says of the family: Transfer RNA (tRNA) molecules are approximately 80 nucleotides in length. Their secondary structure includes four short double-helical elements and three loops (D, anti-codon, and T loops). Lineage: Bacteria; Pseudomonadati; Pseudomonadota; Betaproteobacteria; Rhodocyclales; Rhodocyclaceae. RNAcentral also lists the same sequence under 2 other names. The record is from RNAcentral.
GCCCGGAUGGUGAAAUUGGUAGACACAAGGGACUUAAAAUCCCUCGGCGAAAGCCAUACCGGUUCGAUUCCGGUUCCGGGCACCA